UCGCUUCUCCUCAGAGCUCCGC
This 22-nucleotide microRNA is filed under the name Anolis carolinensis (green anole). RNAcentral's name for it is "aca-miR-5439". The record is from miRBase by way of RNAcentral. Lineage: Eukaryota; Metazoa; Chordata; Lepidosauria; Squamata; Anolidae.